UGACUUUGAGUGGUGUUUGGAAGAUAUGCUGGGACCGGACGGGAUGAGCUCAUUUUUUUUCUUUUUUAGGAAGGAUCUAUUCAUGCACAGACACACAUCUACAAAACACACGCACACCACACGUGCACUACUAGACCUAUAACUACACACAAAUAACAAUUUCGUCCUUCUUAAGAUCACCGAGACCAUCAUGGCAUCAUAGACGACGGACACAUCGUAUUCCCAUUGUGGCUCCACGCGAUAGAGAGGCUACGGACAUAAAGUGGGGAAAACCCCGGUGGGAUAUUAUGCUCGAGUGGAGCUCAAACUUGUG
This 313-nucleotide long non-coding RNA is filed under the name Sorghum bicolor (sorghum). RNAcentral describes it as "long non-coding RNA (SBIC_LNC007090)". Lineage: Eukaryota; Viridiplantae; Streptophyta; Magnoliopsida; Poales; Poaceae. The record is from RNAcentral.